Molecule: non-coding RNA, 30 nt
Filed under: Rattus norvegicus (Norway rat)
Lineage: Eukaryota; Metazoa; Chordata; Mammalia; Rodentia; Muridae
Source: RNAcentral
UAGAAGAUUAACAUGAAAGUUCCUCAUGUC